CCUACGGGAGGCAGCAGUGGGGAAUCUUGCGCAAUGGGCGAAAGCCUGACGCAGCAACGCCGCGUGCGGGAAGAAGGCCCUAGGGUUGUAAACCGCUUUCAGUAGGAACGAAAAUGACGGUACCUGCAGAAGAAGGUGCGGCCAACUACGUGCCAGCAGCCGCGGUGACACGUAGGCACCAAGCGUUGUCCGGAUUUAUUGGGCGUAAAGAGCUCGUAGGCGGUUCAGUAAGUCGGGUGUGAAAACUCUGGGCUUAACCCAGAGCCGCCACUCGAUACUGCUGUGACUUGAGUUCGGUAGGGGAGCAGGGAAUUCCUAGUGUAGCGGUGAAAUGCGCAGAUAUUAGGAGGAACACCGGUGGCGAAGGCGCUGCUCUGGGCCGAUACUGACGCUGAGGAGCGAAAGCGUGGGUAGCAAACAGGAUUAGAUACCCUGGUAGUCCACGCCGUAAACGUUGGGCACUAGGUGUGGGUUCCAACCAACGGAAUCCGCGCCGUCGCUAACGCAUUAAGUGCCCGCCUGGGGAGUACGGCGGCAACGCAAACUCAAAUGAAUUGACGG
RNAcentral lists this ribosomal RNA (561 nucleotides) under uncultured bacterium. Its description in RNAcentral is "bacterial SSU rRNA". It matches the Rfam family "Bacterial small subunit ribosomal RNA", at positions 338 to 916 of the family's 1533-position model. The record is from RNAcentral.